Molecule: transfer RNA, 105 nt
Filed under: Promethearchaeota archaeon
Lineage: Archaea; Promethearchaeati; Promethearchaeota
Description: Candidatus Lokiarchaeota archaeon (microbial mat metagenome) tRNA-Ile
Source: RNAcentral
GGGCCCAUAGCUCAGGUUGGUAGAGCGUCAGGCUCAUAACCUGCCGGUCGAGCGUUCAAGACAGUAGGGAUUUCCCGCUGUGAGCAAAUCGCUCUGGGCCCACCA